GAGCAGCUCAGUCACCACCCCAGGAAAUGACAUCAUUACUUUAUAAAUGAGAUUCAUGUUCUAAAUUUGUAUUCCUGCAGAAACAAGCACAAUAAAAGCUGCUGAACUGAGAGCAAACUUUAAUAUAUAUUUCAUGACAAAAAUGUUUAUUAUUAUAUACAUUUAUGCGGUUCUCUUGUCUUUAGUCACAGAAGCUGUUCUGGGAGUGACACUGGAACAAAAAGAUCUCUUCAUGACAAAAGGUGAAGACAAAACUGUGUAUAUCAGCUGCAAAGUGACCGGAUUAAGCACUAGCUAUGUCCACUGGUACCAAAAGAAAGACGGUGAAGCUCUCACAAGAAUCCUAUACGUCGAAAGAGGAAGCUUACCGGUUCAGGAUCCUAACCAUCCUGAAGCAAAGGACUUCAGUGUGAGGAUACAGUCUGAUAAUUAUGAGCUGAAGAUAGCAAGACUGAAGAAAAGUCACUCAGCAGUGUAUUACUGUGCCAGCUGGGACUACAGCAGUGAUGCACAGUGAAUGAAUUAAUUACAG
This is a non-coding RNA of Tachysurus vachellii, 532 nucleotides long. Lineage: Eukaryota; Metazoa; Chordata; Actinopteri; Siluriformes; Bagridae. The record is from the annotation of a RefSeq genome assembly.